RNAcentral lists this ribosomal RNA (327 nucleotides) under uncultured Chlorobiota bacterium. RNAcentral's name for it is "bacterial SSU rRNA". It matches the Rfam family "Bacterial small subunit ribosomal RNA", at positions 28 to 351 of the family's 1533-position model. Lineage: Bacteria; Pseudomonadati; Chlorobiota. The record is from RNAcentral.
GACGAACGCUGGCGGCGUGCUUAACACAUGCAAGUCUACGAGAAAAGAGUAGCAAUACUCUGAUUAAAGUGGCGCACGGGUGAGUAACACGUAAGCAAUCUACCUUUAGGUAUGGAAUAAUUUCGCGAAAGCGGGACUAAUACCAUAUAAUGCAGCGGCAUCGCAUGAUGAUGUUGUUAAAGCUCUUGUAGCGCCUAUAGAUGAGCUUGCGUCUGAUUAGCUAGUUGGUGAGGUAACGGCCCACCAAGGCAACGAUCAGUAGCUGGUCUGAGAGGAUGAUCAGCCACACUGGAACUGAGACACGGUCCAGACUCCUACGGGAGGCUG